AGAUUCUUGGGCAGAGAAACAGCAACAUCUUUUUAAUCUAGUAUUUGUCAGAAAAUGGAACAGUGUCACAAAACACUUCAGCAUAUCCUUAAAAAUCCCCAGUGCUGCCUAAAAGAAUCCCCUGCCUUACAAAAAGAAAAAAAAGGAAAAAAAAAGUGAGUGCUGAAACCAUAAGACAGGUAUGUUUAUCUAGAGAAAAAUAAGCCUUAACUUUCUCCCAAGAAUGCCAUCAGGCUUUGCAUAUAAGUUCUUUUUUUUUUUUCAUUUCUUUUUUUAUUUUUAUUUUUUAACUUAAUGGAUUUUAUUUGCAUAUCAGUUCUUAAAAGAAGGUUUACACCUACUGACCUGCUGCUGCCUGUGUUCUUCACAGCGAAGCACUCGCUUCUUUUGCUCCUCCUUUUUUGUAACUGCUCUUUUUUUUGUUUUUGUUUUGUUGUUGUUGUUGUUUUUGUUUUGUUUUUUGGGGUUUUUUUUUUUUUUGGUCUUUUUGGGGCCACACCUGCGGCAUAUGGAGGUUCCCAGGCUAGGGGUUGAAUCGGAGCUGCAGCUGCCUGCCUACACCACAGCCACAGCAACACGGAAUCCCAGCCUCGUCUGCGACCUACGCCACAGCUCACAGCAGUGCCAGAUCCUUAACCCACUGAGCCAGUCCAGGGAUCGAACCUGCGUCGUCAUGGAUCCUAGUCAGAUUCGUUUCCGCUGCGCCACAACGGGAACUCCCGUACUGCUCUCUUGAAGGAAUCCCCCAAUCUGGCAGCCAAAGUGAUUUCUUAGUCUUCAGCUUCUCCAGACUUUCACCUUUCAUGUGGCCCAGAUGCCAGUGACUGCCCUUCCUUGCUGAACACCCUGCCUCCCCCCUCCGCCGCCCCCCGCCACCUCUGUGAGGAGGCUUUUCUCCAGAUGCUCCUCCUUGUCUAUAUCUGCCACUUUCUCACUUUUCAAACCUGCCAUCACUUACUGUCUGAUUCAGCUCAGGCUGCCGUAACCAAGUACCAGUGACAGUGGCUUAAACAACAGAAAAUUUUUUCUCAAAGUUCUGAAGGCUGACAGGUCCAAGGUCCAGGUGCCACCUGCUUCAUUCCGGGGGAGGACUCUUUUCGUGUCUUGUAGACAAGUGUCUGCUUGCUGUGUCCCCCCGUGACCUCUGAGAACUUGUAUGUGGAGCGAGGGACAGAGAGACAGAGAGACGAGAUUUCGACAUCUUUUCCUUUUCUCAGGAGACCAACAAUCCUACGGGUCUCUGGCACCCACACUUCUAGCCUCAAUUACCCUUUUUUUCUUUGAGUUACCUUUUUUUUCCUUCGGCCACACUCACAGCAUGACCUGAUCCGCAGCAGUGACAGCACCAGAUCCUUAACCGCUGAGCCACCUGGGAGCUCCCCUCAGUUACCCUUAAUUACUCCCUGAAGACUCCCUGUCCAAAUACAAAGUGGGGCUUGGGGCAUCAACAUAUGAAUUUGGGGAGGGGCGGGACACAGUUCAGUCCAUCGUACUUAUUUCUUGCAGAACCCGGUUGAUGGAGAAUCUUGGUAGAAUGAAUUUCUGAUGAUCGUGGGCUGCUGCUUCGGAGCACUCCUCCCUCCCUGGUUUUCACUCCUCAGCUCCUUGAAGCAGAAUGACAUCUUGGAAAGGUGCCUGAGGACAGUACGGCCUCGCCCUGCCUCACCCCAUGUGUCACUCUGGACACCUAUAGUUUUCUAAACACUCUCCCCAGAGAGCUCCUUCCUCCAUCCUCCAUGCCUUUGCCUAAAAUCGUUCUUCAGCCUGGAAUGGACCCCCCCCAACCCCACUGCCCUCCCUCUAAACGCCUGCUGCUUCCUCACCAGCUCUUCUGCAGCCCUGCCUGCACUGGCAUCUCUUCCCAGCUUCACCCUCCAGCUGGAGCCCUUCCUCCUCUGAGUCCCCAGCACCACCUGUCCACCUGUUCUGCCGCUCACCUCACUGCUCCCUCUACCCCUGACCCAUGCGUUCCUGCAAAAGUGUAAUUUUAUGUCCUCCUUUGCCAGCUGCUCAGAAGUGGGUUUUUCUGUCUAACUCAGAAUCAGUCAUCUAAGAGGCUAAGUUGGCACAUUGCGGAUUCUCAAUGCAUAACUUUAAAGGAGGGAUAUGCAAGUUCUAUGUCAUGCUCAAAAGUUAAAAGUAUCAUCUCUGUGUUUUGUAAAUUCAUGCUUAAUCUUUUCAUGAUGAAUUAUGUCAAGAGUGCCCUUAAAAGGAUGAAAUGACAGAAGAAAAUGGUUUAAUCCUCAUGGAUCUUUUAAAUAAAUUAUUCAGACCUAAAAUGGUAACCAGCAGGCUUUCAUUAUCCACUAUAAAAAUAUUUUGAUGAUUGGAGUUCCUGUCAUGGCGCCGUGGCUAACGAAUCCAGCUAGGAACCAUGAGGUUACAGGUUCGAUCCCUGGCCUCGCUCAGUGGGUUAAGGAUCUGGCGUUGCCGUGAGCUGUGGUGUGGGUCGCAGAUGUGGCUUGGAUCCCACGUUGUUGUGGCUCUGGCGUAGGCAGGUGGCUACAACUCCUAUUAGACCCCUAGCCUGGGAACCUCCAUAUGCCAUGGGACCGGCCCUAGAAAAGCCAAAAAGCCAAAAAGCCAAAAAAAAAAAAAAUUCAAUGAUUGAUCUGAUAGGUAUCAUGUUAAAGAAAAUUCCACGUUGGUUUUGGAUAAUAGCAUGUGGUUUCAUCUGUGAAGAUAUGUCUGAUACCACAUUCUGGCUGCAGCUCUUCUGCAUCAGUACCGCUAUCGACGUGCUUUAUAUUCUGUUGAGUUCCCACUGUGGUGCAGUGGAAACUAAUCUGACUAGCAACAAUGAGGUUGCGGGUUCGAUCCCCAGCCUCACUCAGUGGGUUAAGGGUCCAAUGUUGCUGUGAGCUGUGGUAUAGGUCACAGAUGUGUCUCGGAUCCUUCGUUGCUAUGGCUGUGGCAUAGGCCAGCAGCUACAGCUCUGAUUUGACCCCUAGCCUGAGAACCUCCAUAUGCCACAGGUGCAGCCCU
RNAcentral lists this long non-coding RNA (2985 nucleotides) under Sus scrofa (pig). RNAcentral's name for it is "lncRNA (ENSSSCG00040001664.1)". The record is from RNAcentral. Lineage: Eukaryota; Metazoa; Chordata; Mammalia; Artiodactyla; Suidae.